This is a long non-coding RNA of Lingula anatina, 291 nucleotides long. NCBI's taxonomy places the organism in Eukaryota, Metazoa, Brachiopoda, Lingulata, Lingulida, Lingulidae. The record is from RefSeq and is a predicted model, not a curated record.
GCGAGACUGGGAGAUCUGGCCUGGUAUGACAGCCAGGAGGAACGGCGUUUCCUGGUGUCUACGGCUGAGCGUAUCACCCAGGUUGACCCCUAUAGUCGCACGUGGUGGGUGGGACUGACCAGUGACGUCACUGGACUGGCUGACGUCACCGCUGGGGGUGGGUGGAAAUGGGUCUCAGGGAAGAAGGCCGAGUCUGAUCUUAUUGACUGGGGGAAUCUUGAGCCGGCUGAUAGCGGUGUUCAAAACUGCGCGAAUUUAUGGACCAAAAGGGCGUCGCCAAAUAUUGGAAAG